This 1286-nucleotide long non-coding RNA is filed under the name Homo sapiens (human). Its description in RNAcentral is "non-protein coding lnc-GALK1-3:1". Lineage: Eukaryota; Metazoa; Chordata; Mammalia; Primates; Hominidae. The record is from RNAcentral.
UACAGAUGCCCUGGGGUAGGAGGGGGCACCAGUGAGCCAGCUGUGCCCCAUCCCUGCCUGCUCCCUCUCCUCUCUCCAUAGGGUUCUCUCUGGAGAGGGUGGGUGGUGCUGACAGACACUGUCUGUCUUAUGCCCAGGCCUACCCCAUUGCUGUCGAUGCAGGUGGCAUUGCUGAGGGGACAGUCACAGCUUGGGCCUGUCCAACCAGGCUCACACACACACUGGCCCAUGGAGCAGCGUCCUCGGUCUGCAGAGAGGGACAAGGAAGGGCGGGCAGAUCACAAGGUCAAGAGACUGAGACCAUCCUGGCCAACAUGGAGAAACCUCGUCUCUACUAAAAAUACAAAAAUUAGCUGGUCAUGGUGGCGCAUGCCUGUAGUCCCAGUUACUCAGGAGGCUGAGGCAGGAGAAUCACUUGAACCCGGGAGGUAGAGGUUGCAGUGAGCCGAGAUCACGCCACUGCACUCCAGCCUGGUGACAGAGCAAGACUCCGUCUCAAAAAAAAAAAAAAAAAAAGAAAAGAAAAAAGAAAUAAAACUGUCAGCCGGGCGUGGUGGCUCACACCUGUAAUCCCACACUUUGGGAGGCCGAGGCGGGAGGAUCACUUGAGCUCAGGAGUUCAAGACCAGCCUGGCCAACAUGGUGAAACUCUAUUUCCACUAAAAAUACAAAAAUUAGCUGGGCUUGGUGGUGGGCCCCUGUAAUCCCAGCUUCUUGGGAGGCUGAGGCAGGAGAAUUGCUUGAACCUGGGAGGCAGAGGUUGUAGUGAGCUGAGAUCAUGCCACUGCACUCUAGCCUGGGUGACAGAGCAAGACUCCGUCUCAAAAAUCAAUCAAUCAAUCAAUCAAUAAAAUUGUCUUUAUUUGCAAGCUGGAUGUCAAAAGGACAGAGAGGGGAUAGCUGAGCCCUGAUGCCUGGCAUAAACACGGGCCCCCCACCAAGGGCUGGCUCAGAAGGGAGGAAGAGGGAGGUUAACGCUUUGCAUGCUGGCAUGAUCACAGCUCACUGCAGUCUCGACAUCCUGGGCUCAGGCAAUCCUCCCACCUCAGCCUCCCAAGUAGCCCAGCUAAUUUUUUAUUUUAUGUAGAGACAGGGGCUCUGGCACACCCUGGCCACCCCCUGGCCUGCUGCCUCCUCAGGUCCAGCCAGACGGUCCUCAGCCUUCCCCAUUACCUUUGAUGAGCUGCACCUAGCACCCUUUUCAGGUACCUCCUCCAUCACAGCUUGUGCCUCACGGCGAGACCACUGCCACAUGGCCUGUCUGUCCUCUGAGCCCCUUCUAGGGU